This 2848-nucleotide long non-coding RNA is filed under the name Fragaria vesca (wild strawberry). Its description in RNAcentral is "long non-coding RNA (FVES_LNC001640)". The record is from RNAcentral. Lineage: Eukaryota; Viridiplantae; Streptophyta; Magnoliopsida; Rosales; Rosaceae.
CUUAUGUUGUUUCGAUUCAGUUGAAUUCUCUCAAGACACCAUGUGAUCGAUGUUGUCUAUGACAUGUGGAUUUGAAAUUACAAUGUCCAGAUUUGUCUUGCCGUUUGGCAAGUCACAAAACAAUAUGAUUAAUUGGAGUCGCCUCAUCUUGGGGAUUAAAUGGAUUGGGGUCCUUAUUAUGGGGUUUCGAUGAGGUUUGGUGCCUCUUGAACAUAACAGGGGACAUGAUGCCACAAUUUUAGUUUUCAAAAAGCAUCGAGAUAAUGUUCCAAACAAUAGUAUGCGUCUCCACUAAAUCCAUGUAUUUAUGUAUGCGUCGAACAGCAAAACGUGUUAUAUCGACUACUUUAUUUACACUGGCCUUUUACCCGUGUAUUUAUGGGACACGAUCACGAUCACCAUUUAGUGGUUAAUUUUAGUUUCCCAUUACUCAAGUAGUUUUCUCAAUUAUCUCUAUGUUUUAUUUAUUUUGUUGAUUACUAUAAUGAUCCUUGUUUUUGUUCGUUUUAGUUGACUCAUUAAGGGUAAUUGUGACAGUUCACAAUUUGUUGAAUUUCCUGACUCUGCAGAUAUCAGAACCUCAAAGCAAAUGUCAUAACUAUUAAAUAAGUAUUCUCAAUAAUCUGAUGGGAAAUAAAUUAAACCACAUGAUAUUUUUAUCUUGCCAUUUUCGUAUUCAUUAAAAAUUAACUUUCUUUCCACAUUAUUCUUGAAAGAGACAACAUGUCAUUAAGAUAUUCCUUGUUUCUGGUCUCGGUUGUAAUUUAAACAGCGGAUUGACGCUGGCUAUUAACAAUGCCUCUUACUGCUAUCAACGCUUGAACACACCAUAAUAUAGCUUCUUGGUUAUCCCUCGUCUGAACCCACUUCUACUUUGCUUGACCACUUUGACAACCCCCGACCUGCCAUGAGCCAUUACCACACCCUUAAACAUCCUCCCUCGUGAUAGCCAAAAACUCCAAAAACAUAGAUCGUAACCCAUCUAAACCACCUAAAGAAGACCGCCCAAACCUCCAACACCAACCAAGCAUCCGCUCAAGGACCUUGUCGAUGUCUUUGACCCGUCACAAGCCCGUCCAACGAUGACGCCAUAGGGAGACGCCAUCGACACCUCGUCAUAAACCUUAUAUCAAUGAGAUCUGAACUCAUGACUCUUAAGCUAGCUUAGCAAUACAUCACAGCUCAUUGACCACAUUAACCAUAUUUGAUUAAUUAUUCUCUUAUUGUUUAGGAUUGUAAUCAUUUAUCUAAUUAAUCGAUAUAAUUAUCUUUCUUUUAAUAAGAUUCAACUAGCUUGGUAAGAAUGAUCUAAAGGUUAAUUGAGUGCUUACCCCAUCAAAAAGUACACCAUAUAUUCAAUCAAGAUCCAUAAUUCCUUCAAACUUGGUCAUCAUCACUCCCUUAAGUUUGACAACCCAAUUAGCUAGGGCAGACUAUGUGGUUAAUAUCAAAUUAUCAAGUGGUACCACCAUUCUUUAAAAUGAAGGAUCCAACAUCCACAUAUAUAUGAAUGGAGUGCAGGGUAAUUUUCCCAAAUGAUAAAAGCAUUGUUUGGAAAUACAAAGACAUGUGACCUCAAUUGGAGAGAGGGGAGAUGUUGCUUUAGCCAGACAAAUCCCUUUUGUAAUGACUAAGGAAGAAAGCAUAGAAGGUUUGAGUUCACGAAGGAAAGUGAUUGCAAAGAAAUGUUUGUUUUGGAGUUGCUGGAUUUGAGGCGCAAGUCAAGGCUUUGAAUGUGUUGAGUGAAGUCCUUCUAGUUUUAGGUAUGCAAGAGGAAACAAAAAACAAAGUGUUUGUUUGGGAAUUAUUCUGGACAGUUUCCAAAUGGAUAUAUGUAUCUGAGUGGUUGUUGGAAUUGAAUUAAGAAAAUAAAUGUCUUAAGUGGUCCAGCUAACCAUCACCAUUUCCUAAUUGUUUUAUAAGGCUAGUUACACUUGGGGUCGUGAUAUCUAAGUCCCAUUUCUAUAGUGAAAGUAGCUUGUAUCAAAUGUUUAUCUUAAUAUGAUUAUGAUACAUCUCGAUGUGUUUAGUGAUGUGUUUAUAUAUAUUUAAUAUUAAUAAUAAAAUUUAUUUUAUUUUAAAAGUAACUUUCUGAUGGAUACUAUAAACCAAGAUUUUUUUAAGAUGCAAUGUAAAAGACAACCAUUUUAUUAUAUAUGUAUACGCAUAUAAAUCUUUGCCCGUUGGCAAGCAAUUUUAAGUAUUUUUGAUUUUGAAAUUGCAUUCAUUAAAGGAAGUGACAACCAUAUCCCAGAUUUCCUAACUCGUGAAUUUCUACAGGGCGCCAAAACAUGAAGCCCAGUUCAUCCAAAGGGAGAAAUCUCGGAAAAGCAAUAGCCACGACAUCCUCUCUAGUUAAGACAGAAUCACCUGAGUCAAACCCUAGCAUAGUUCCUUAUGUAGGACGUUCCCAUUCCUUUAGUCAAUCAGUAUAGUGCUCUUGGUAGCACCCUCAGUCAAUCUAAACCCAAUUACCAGUCAGCUUUAGUCAACCAAUUUGACCCCUACAAAUCAGACUCCUCAUUCAACUUUCCAAUUAAUUAUAAAAAAUCCUCCCCUUACUAUGACAAGGCUGAACAUUUCCUAUUCUACAUUGAACCUUCUAUGAGUCAUAUAAAAAAGGAUUAAAUUCAGUUUGCCCCCUCGUACUUUAGGUCAAUAAUCAAUUUGGUCCCAUAUCUUUUUUUUAAUAACGUUGGUCCUUGAAGUUCUAUUUCACAUCAGUUUAGUCCAAUUUUUGAAUUGCCCUUCUUAUCAUGACGUCAUGCGCUGAGUUGUCCGCGAGAGUUUACGUAAAAUGAUCAAAUUAGCCCUCCUUACAGUCUAUACAUCUCUCUCUCUCUNNNNN